Molecule: ribosomal RNA, 254 nt
Filed under: uncultured bacterium
Lineage: Bacteria
Description: partial 16S ribosomal RNA
Rfam family: Bacterial small subunit ribosomal RNA
Source: RNAcentral
UACAGAGGUGGCAAGCGUUGUUCGGAAUUACUGGGCGUAAAGGGCGCGUAGGCGGUCUUUUAAGUCUUGUGUGAAAUCCCUCGGCUCAACUGAGGAACUGCACGGGAUACUGGAAGACUUGAGUUCGGGAGAGGGAAGCGGAAUUCCGGGUGUAGCGGUGAAAUGCGUAGAUAUCCGGAGGAACACCGGUGGCGAAGGCGGCCUCCUGGACCGAUUACUGACGCUGAGGCGCGAAAGCUAGGGGAGCAAACGGG